AAAGUUUUUAAGAGAUCUCUUUAUAUUCUCGCGGCGGUGAAAUUGCUCGGGGGUCUCUCUCUCUCUCUCUCUGUGGAAGGAAGGCGGCUAGUUUCAACAAACACAUCCGAUCAUGCCUAAGCAAAUCCACGAGAUCAAGGACUUCCUUCUGACAGCAAGAAGGAAAGAUGCACGAUCUGUGAAGAUCAAGAGAAGCAAGGACAUUGUCAAGUUUAAGGUCAGAUGCUCCAGGUACCUCUACACCCUCUGCGUCUUCGACCAAGAGAAAGCUGACAAGCUUAAGCAGUCUCUUCCUCCAGGUUUGAGUGUGCAAGACCUUUGAAGAUGAAGCAAAGUUCUUCUGCAGUUCGUUGGUGACUAAAGCCUUGCAUCAUCGUAUAAUUUUCUUAGGAGUUUUUUUGUGGUUUCCAGUAUGAGUGUGUUUUUGGAUUUAUUCAAUUUGGAAAAACGAAAUGCGUUAUCUACUCUGGUUCAAUUUGGAUUUUUAUUUAUUAUCAUAUCGGACCUCUCUA
This is a long non-coding RNA of Camelina sativa (false flax), 512 nucleotides long. RefSeq annotates it as large ribosomal subunit protein eL38z/eL38y. The record is from RefSeq and is a predicted model, not a curated record. NCBI's taxonomy places the organism in Eukaryota, Viridiplantae, Streptophyta, Magnoliopsida, Brassicales, Brassicaceae.